This 59-nucleotide non-coding RNA is filed under the name uncultured Nitzschia. Lineage: Eukaryota; Bacillariophyta; Bacillariophyceae; Bacillariales; Bacillariaceae. The record is from RNAcentral.
GCUGCUGCUGCUCAACCGGAUCUCUGUCUCGCUCUCUAACGAUAUCUUCAUGCCUCGUU